Molecule: unclassified non-coding RNA, 148 nt
Organism: Macaca fascicularis (crab-eating macaque)
Lineage: Eukaryota; Metazoa; Chordata; Mammalia; Primates; Cercopithecidae
Rfam family: Metazoan signal recognition particle RNA
About the family: The signal recognition particle (SRP) is a universally conserved ribonucleoprotein.
Source: Ensembl
GCUAGGUGUGGUGGCGGGCGCCUGUAAUCCCAGCUACUCAGGAGGCUGAGGCAGGAGAAUCGUUUGAACCCAGGAGGCAGAGGUUGCAGUGAGCCGAGAUCGCACCACUGCACUCCAGCCUGGGUGACAGAGUGAGACUCUGUCUCAA